CCCUUAGAUGUUCUGGGCUGCACGCGUGUUACAAUCGGGAGUACAGCAAGAUUGCAAAUCCUAGUGGAUGAGUGGUUCUUCGAAAUUUUCUGAAGACUGGGAUAGUUGAUUGAAAUUAUUCAACUCAAACGAGGAAUUCCUUGUAAUUGUAAUUCAUUAUAUUGUAAUGAAUACGUCCCUGCCCUUUGUACACACCGCCCGUCGCUCCUACCGAUUGAACGAUCCGGUGAAUUAUUUGGAGUAGCUCUGGAAGUUGCAGAACUUCCUAUGUCACGAAAUUUUGUAAACCUUAUCGUUUAGAGGAAGGAAAAGUCGUAACA
This 320-nucleotide ribosomal RNA is filed under the name uncultured eukaryote. RNAcentral describes it as "partial 18S ribosomal RNA". It matches the Rfam family "Eukaryotic small subunit ribosomal RNA", at positions 1470 to 1796 of the family's 1831-position model. The record is from RNAcentral.